AGUGAACGCUGGCGGUAGGCCUAACACAUGCAAGUCGAACGGCAGCACAGUAAGAGCUUGCUCUUACGGGUGGCGAGUGGCGGACGGGUGAGGAAUACAUCGGAAUCUACUUUUUCGUGGGGGAUAACGUAGGGAAACUUACGCUAAUACCGCAUACGACCUACGGGUGAAAGCAGGGGAUCUUCGGACCUUGCGCGAUUGAAUGAGCCGAUUUCGGAUUAGCUAGUUGGCGGGGUAAAGGCCCACCAAGGCGACGAUCCGUAGCUGGUCUGAGAGGAUGAUCAGCCACACUGGAACUGAGACGCGGUCCAGACUCCUACGGGAGGCAGCAGUGGGGAAUAUUGGACAAUGGGCGCAAGCCUGAUCCAGCCAUACCGCGUGGGUGAAGAAGGCCUUCGGGUUGUAAAGCCCUUUUGUUGGGAAAGAAAAGCAGCAGGUUAAUACCCCGCUGUUCUGACGGUACCCAAAGAAUAAGCACCGGCUAACUUCGUG
This 492-nucleotide ribosomal RNA is filed under the name uncultured bacterium. Its description in RNAcentral is "partial 16S ribosomal RNA". It matches the Rfam family "Bacterial small subunit ribosomal RNA", at positions 29 to 507 of the family's 1533-position model. The record is from RNAcentral.